AGGACGAACGCUGGCGGCGUGCUUAACACAUGCAAGUCGAACGGUGAAGCCCUUCGGGGUGGAUCAGUGGCGAACGGGUGAGUAACACGUGGGCAAUCUGCCCUGCAUUCUGGGACAAGCCUUGGAAACGAGGUCUAAUACCGGAUACGACGCAUCCCCGCAUGGGGUGUGCGUGGAAAGCUCCGGCGAUGCAGGAUGAGCCCGCGGCCUAUCAGCUUGUUGGUGGGGUAAUGGCCUACCAAGGCGACGACGGGUAGCCGGCCUGAGAGGGCGACCGGCCACACUGGGACUGAGACACGGCCCAGACUCCUACGGGAGGCAGCAGUGGGGAAUAUUGCACAAUGGGCGAAAGCCUGAUGCAGCGACGCCGCGUGAGGGAUGACGGCCUUCGGUUGUAACCUCUUUCAGCAGGGAAGAAGCGCAAGUGACGGUACCUGCAGAAGAAGCACCGGCUAACUACGUGCCAGCAGCCGCGGU
RNAcentral lists this ribosomal RNA (477 nucleotides) under uncultured bacterium. RNAcentral describes it as "SSU rRNA". It matches the Rfam family "Bacterial small subunit ribosomal RNA", at positions 26 to 521 of the family's 1533-position model. The record is from RNAcentral.